UUCAGAUAGAGUCUUACACUGUCACCUGAGCUGGAGUGCAAUGGUGCAAUCUCGGCUCACUGAAACCUCCACCUUCUGGGUUCAUGUGAUUCUCCUGCCUCAGCCUCCCAUGUUGCUGGGAUUACAGCUACAAAAGAUUUGGCCAAUUCAGAUGCCUUGUUCCCCACAAUUUGGAACUUUCCUUUGGAUUUGACCAAGUCAGGAAGAGACGACCAUACUUGAUGAGAGAAAAGUAAAACAACAACAAUAAAACACCAAAUGUAAACAAGAACAUUUAAGCAAAACAAACAAAUGCACAAUCCAUAUGAUUAGUGACUGUUCUAACGGUAAGGAGAAAUAAAAACCAGCUGAUUGGUAAUCUUAACUUUUAGUCAUUAAGGAAAAUUUUUAAGACAAAAUUCUAAUUCAGCUACUUACUUGGAAAUAUGGCUCAGGCUGAUGAUGGCUCUCUACCAUCUUACAAGAAGGAAAAAUCUCACACUCACCCUCCCUGUCAGAAGCACGCUGAAACUCAAGAAAGGAUGUGCCUGUUCUCCAUCAUCAUGGAAGCAGGAAAACAUGCCUUCUUAUUGGAAAUGAGUAAAACUUCAGAAAAAAAGUCGUAGAGCAAAAUCAACCUUGGAUCUCAACCAAAUUUUGGAAGAUUAAGGACUCUCUGGAGGGGAGAAACUCCCCAACCUCAGCAAAUUAUCCUAUUGUUUCCAGCAAUACAAAUAGCUCAGGUUGGCUAGGCGCGGUGACUCAUGCCUGUAAUCCCAGCACUUUGGAAGGCCAAGGCGGGUGGUUGAUUUGAGGUGAGAAGACCAGCCUGGCCAACAUGGUGAAACCCAGUCUCUAACUGUAAUUGUGUUCCUUUUGCCUCAGACAGCUCCUUUUGUAGUACACAAACCAUAUUGUCCAUUUGUUCAAUUUCUACUGUAAGUUGCUCAUAGUGGCUAUUUUCAUCCACACAUACACAAAACAAAUAUGCAUUGAGUUCCUACCACGGGGAACACAGUCUACUGAGCUCUGCAGAUAAAACAAACAGUAACUCUGCUCUUGUUUAGCUGUAAGUGUAGUGAAGAACAAAUACAAAGAAGUGAAAUUACAACUUCAGAUAGAUGCUGCAAGAAAACAGUUCUAUGAUCACACAGGAUUUGAUCUAUACUGGGCUCAGGAAGAUUUCCCUGGGGAAGAGAUGGCUACACUGAGAAAUGAAGGGUGAGAAGGAAGCUGUUAAGUAAAGGGGGUAGAAAAACAUUCUAGCUAGUUUAUGUCAUGUGCUGAAGCUCUGCUGCAGUCUGCUUCUGGCCAUGAUGGAGCAGCAGAUACUGACUUACCUUCUCACCUGAAACAAAAACAAAAAAGACAAAAUACAUAAUACCACGAUUUUCAAGAACAAGGAUUUCAGGUAGUGAAGACAAUGAUCCUUGUAAGAUAGGAAACAAGUGAAAUAAGCCUUACAAACACCCUAGCUCCCUGACUUGACAAAGUUUCCAGGCCAUGACAAUGAAAGAAAAAAAAAACUGAGUUAGAGUCUACCAAAAACUGAGGUAGAGCCCACCAGAUUCCCUGAGUUUGAACAAUGAAGCCGAGAGUCUCAAAAAACCAAGGCAGACAGAAAUCACAGAAUACUUGAAAGGAGACAGCAGUAAAGGGAAAGAACACUGGAGAUCUGCAAAAACACCCUCUUGGGUAUUUAUUUAGCAGAAUAAUGAACAGUACAUUUGUCCUAAGAAACUACUUGAGACCAGGGGGAAAAAAUCCAUGGAUGAAAUUGGAAACCAUCAUUCUCAGUAAACUAUCG
This 1786-nucleotide long non-coding RNA is filed under the name Homo sapiens (human). RNAcentral's name for it is "HSALNT0136210". Lineage: Eukaryota; Metazoa; Chordata; Mammalia; Primates; Hominidae. The record is from RNAcentral.